Long non-coding RNA from Gorilla gorilla gorilla (western lowland gorilla), 256 nucleotides. RefSeq lists it as uncharacterized. The transcript has 3 exons. The record is from RefSeq and is a predicted model, not a curated record. Lineage: Eukaryota; Metazoa; Chordata; Mammalia; Primates; Hominidae.
UUACUCUGUUGCCCAAGCUGGAGUGCAGUGGUGUGAUCAUGGCUCACUGCAGCCUUGACCUUCCAGGCUCAAACGAUCCUCCCACCUCAGCCUCCCGAGUAGCUGGAACUACAGGCACCUGCCACCACGCCCAGGUUCAAGGAGAAUACCUGGCACAUAGCAGACUUCCAGUAAAUACUUGAAAUACAAAUAUGGGUCAUCAAAAAAGGUUGCCGGGAGUGAAGAGCUCCAGAUCAAAUCUAUUAUACAGAAGGCG